UGAAACAACAGGGCCUGGGAUUCAUCGA
Molecule: small RNA, 28 nt
Filed under: Bombyx mori (domestic silkworm)
Lineage: Eukaryota; Metazoa; Arthropoda; Insecta; Lepidoptera; Bombycidae
Description: ovarian small RNA-30372
Source: RNAcentral